AUAUAUGAAUUAUAUAUGUAAUAAUAAGUAAAUACACAAUUUUUUAAAAAUGGAAAAAGUUAAUCAAGCAUUAAACAUCUAUCUUAAAAUGUAAAAUAUAUAAUAUAAGUAAAUACACAAUUUAAAAAAUGGAAAACAUUAAUAUUUAAAUAUCUAUUUAAAAAUAUAAAAUAUAGAUAUUACGUAAAUAAAAAUAUAAGAAAUGGAAAUAAACAUUAAAAAAAAUGGAAAAAGUACAUUAAGAUUUAAGCAUCUAUCUUUAAAUGUACUUCUAUCUUAAAAUGGUAGUAAAUUAUAUAAAAAUGGAAAUACCACAUUAAACAAAAAAAAAAUAUAGUUUUACAUCAAGAAAGUCUCUAUAAAACUCAUUAUUCCAUCCACAUCAACCUCACACUAUUAAGGAAAAUUUCAAAGCACUCGAGCAAAAAAAUGGUUUCACUAUCAACUCUUGCCGUCUCAGAAACCUUUAAUGACCUUGAAUG
RNAcentral lists this long non-coding RNA (482 nucleotides) under Brassica rapa (field mustard). Its description in RNAcentral is "long non-coding RNA (BRAP_LNC003308)". Lineage: Eukaryota; Viridiplantae; Streptophyta; Magnoliopsida; Brassicales; Brassicaceae. The record is from RNAcentral.